GACGAACGCUGGCGGCGUGCCUAACACAUGCAAGUCGAGCGAGGUCCAUCUGGUGGCAACACCAGGGAAGACCUAGCGGCGAACGGGUGAGUAACACGUGAGAAACCUGCCCCGAACUCUGGGAUAACUCGAGGAAACUCGGACUAAUACCGGAUGCCCUUCACGGAUCGCAUGGUCCAUGAAGGAAAGAAUUUCGGUUCGGGAGGGUCUCGCGGCCUAUCAGCUAGUUGGUGGGUAACGCCCACAAGGCAUCGACGGGUAGCUGGUCUGAGAGGACGAUCAGCCACACUGGGACUGAGACACGGCCCAGACUCCUACGGGAGGCUG
Molecule: ribosomal RNA, 327 nt
Filed under: uncultured Actinomycetes bacterium
Lineage: Bacteria; Bacillati; Actinomycetota; Actinomycetes
Description: bacterial SSU rRNA
Rfam family: Bacterial small subunit ribosomal RNA
Source: RNAcentral